This is a long non-coding RNA of Oncorhynchus tshawytscha (Chinook salmon), 565 nucleotides long. The record is from Ensembl. Lineage: Eukaryota; Metazoa; Chordata; Actinopteri; Salmoniformes; Salmonidae.
AAUGGAAUAUCAUGCCGGUGCCAGAGUUAAUGGAAUAACAAGCAGGUGCCAGAGUUAAUGGAAUAACAUGCAGGUGCCAGAGUUAAUGGAAUAACAUGCAGGUGCCAGAGUUAAUGGAAUAACAAUCCAGUGCCAGAGUUAAUGGAAUAACAAGCAGGUGCCAGAGUUAAUGGAAUAACAUGCAGGUGCCAGAGUUAAUGGAAUAACAUGCAGGUGCCAGAGUUAAUGGAAUAACAUGCCGGUGCCAGAGUUAAUGGAAUAACAUGCAGGUGCCAGAGUUAAUGGAAUAACAUGCAGGUGCCAGAGUUAAUGGAAUAACAAUCCAGUGCCAGAGUUAAUGGAAUAACAAGCAGGUGCCAGAGUUAAUGGAAUAACAUGCCGGUGCCAGAGUUAAUGGAAUAACAUGUCGGUGCCAGAGUUAAUGGAAUAACAUGCCGGUGCCAGAGUUAAUGGAAUAACAUGCACGGUGCCAGAGUUAAUGGAAUAACAUACUGGUGCCAGAGUUAAUGGAAUAACAUACUGGUGCCAGAGUUAAUGGAAUAACAUACUGGUGCCAGAGUUAAUG